UGAGGAAUAUUGGUCAAUGGGGGCAACCCUGAACCAGCCAAGUCGCGUGAAGGAUGAAGGUCUUAUGGAUUGUAAACUUCUUUUAUACAGGAAUAAAUUGGGGGACGUGUCCCCUUUUGCAUGUACUGUAUGAAUAAGGAUCGGCUAACUCCGUGCCAGCAGCCGCGGUAAUACGGAGGAUCCGAGCGUUAUCCGGAUUUAUUGGGUUUAAAGGGUGCGCAGGCGGGAUGUUAAGUCGGCGGUGAAAUUUUGCAGCUAAACUGUAAAAGUGCCUUCGAUACUGGCCUCCUUGAGUGUGGAUGAAGUAGGCGGAAUUUGUGGUGUAGCGGUGAAAUGCUUAGAUAUCACGAGGAACUCCGAUUGCGCAGGCAGCUUACUAAGCCACAACUGACGCUCAUGCACGAA
RNAcentral lists this ribosomal RNA (405 nucleotides) under uncultured bacterium. RNAcentral describes it as "bacterial SSU rRNA". It matches the Rfam family "Bacterial small subunit ribosomal RNA", at positions 355 to 757 of the family's 1533-position model. The record is from RNAcentral.